Molecule: long non-coding RNA, 414 nt
Organism: Oreochromis aureus
Lineage: Eukaryota; Metazoa; Chordata; Actinopteri; Cichliformes; Cichlidae
Source: Ensembl
GAACGAGACAUAGGAGGCGGCGAGGGGACCGCCGAUCGACCGGUGGUAGAUCGUGGAUCAGGCAAACCUAAGGCAGGAGCGUGAGGUGAACUGAAUUUCAGUUUGCGACCCUCACUGCCCAGCCAUUCUCAGUCUGGAGCUAUCCUGCCUAACUCUCCAUGCUACCUCCCUGCUCACCUGCGCUACCUGGGGUCCACGUUGUCCCCACUUCAAUCUCCAGCCUUAAGUACCUCUCCCAAGCGUCUAGUAAAUGUGUGGCAAACAGUUUGAAUUCUCUGUUCAGACAGAACUGUCAUGUUUGUUAAACUGAACUACAAACAUUCAGUGAAAUCCUGAAAUUCAGGAUCUUUUUCAGAGCCAGAGGAAACACUAAGUGACUGCAGAGAUGUGGUUUUCAUAAAACACCUAUAAAAC